AGCGAACGCUGGCGGCAGGCUUAACACAUGCAAGUCGAACGCCAUCUUCGGAUGGAGUGGCAGACGGGUGAGUAACGCGUGGGAACGUACCUUUUGGUUCGGAAUAUUCUCGGGAAACUGAGAGCAAUACCGAAUAAGCCCUUAGGGGGAAAGAUUUAUUGCCAAAAGAUCGGCCCGCGUUAGAUUAGGUAGUUGGUAGGGUAAUGGCCUACCAAGCCUACGAUCUAUAGCUGGUCUGAGAGGAUGAUCAGCCACAUUGGGACUGAGACACGGCCCAAACUCCUACGGGAGGCAGCAGUGGGGAAUAUUGGACAAUGGGCGCAAGCCUGAUCCAGCCAUGCCGCGUGAAUGAUGAAGGCCUUAGGGUUGUAAAAUUCUUUCAACGGGGACGAUAAUGACGGUACCCGUAGAAGAAGCCCCGGCUAACUUCGUGCCAGCCGCCGCCGUAA
RNAcentral lists this ribosomal RNA (449 nucleotides) under uncultured bacterium. Its description in RNAcentral is "partial 16S ribosomal RNA". It matches the Rfam family "Bacterial small subunit ribosomal RNA", at positions 29 to 523 of the family's 1533-position model. The record is from RNAcentral.